CCCCACUCAGUGCUUAUCAGGACGUUGUGCCGUGGUUGGUACCAGAAGUCGUAACCAAAGGGAGGGCACUUCCCUCCUUUCUCCCAAUUACCCUUCACUUCAAAGGUCUCUCCAUCCAGCAAAACAAAGCCACCUUUCCCAUUGCCAGAAGGAUCUCCCAAGCAGCUGAUCAGGAUGUCACCGCUGCCCAGACAGUGGGAGGUGUGGGGAUUUGCCACGUUCCCCUUCCAGAACAGCUCCACAGGCUCCACAGUCUUAUGGAUUCUGGGGGCUCGUGGGUCUGUGCCCACAUCCACCACGUAAAUGCGGGAUGAGAUCAGGCAUGGGAGAAUGAGACGAUUGCGACUCUUUGUGGUGUCCCCAAAGCAGCUGCUGCAGGCGUUCCACCCCGAGUGAUGGAGCUCGUCUUUCAGGUUGGGCAUGGGCAGGCGGUGGAUGACCUGGCAAUAGUGUGGGGAUUUGGGGUCAACAUCCACAGUGGCCAGGUAGUCCGGCUUCUGGAUGCCGGUGUUCCUGUAGAUGCAGGGCAGGUAGACAAUCUCCUCCCGGGGACCUUUCAUGGCGUCCAGGGGAGUUGCGUAUCCUGGGCCGCACGCUCCGCAUUUUGCCAUGUUGGC
RNAcentral lists this long non-coding RNA (617 nucleotides) under Gallus gallus (chicken). The record is from RNAcentral. Lineage: Eukaryota; Metazoa; Chordata; Aves; Galliformes; Phasianidae.